AGACGGGCAGCAGAUAUGCUAGUGUUGAGAGUAUUACUAGCCGUUGCCUCGGUUCAAGCGAUCUCUUUCGAAGAUGCCAUUGGGUCAUACUGCUGUGAGUAGGCACUUUACUGGAGACUAUGUGCAAUAACGUGAUGCAAUGUAUGUCAUGCGCCGUAGUAGCAAUAUACAUAUAUGCCUAUGUAGAACUUUGACGCUGGCUCACUAAGAAAAAACAGAACUGCAAGACAAAAGCCUGACAGGGAUGAGGAAGGCAUCGAGGAAUUUGUCGCCUGCGUCAUAAAAAAUUUCCCGCCGAAGGUGGGCCGUAAAGUCCAGGAACUGAUGGACUUGUUUGACGGAAUGUCAUUUUUUGAUGCUGUUCAGCUAAUGUGCAAGGCAUCGCUGGAUUCUUCUGCGGCGAUG
Molecule: long non-coding RNA, 405 nt
Organism: Rhipicephalus sanguineus (brown dog tick)
Lineage: Eukaryota; Metazoa; Arthropoda; Arachnida; Ixodida; Ixodidae
Exons: 3
Source: RefSeq, a predicted model, not a curated record